UUUCCGUAGGUGAACCUGCGGAAGGAUCAUUACCGAGUGAGGGUCUCUCAGUCCCUACCUCCUAUCCUGUGUUUUCAUGACCUUUUUGCUUUUGCGGGUCCGUCUCGAUGUUAGACUGCCGUUAUCUCACCGCUGUGUGCCCGUGCCCGCCCGUAUCCCCCUUAAAUUCUUAAUAAACCUUUCGUACGAGUCUAUAUAUAAUAAAAAAAACUUUCAACAAAGAAUCUCUUGUUUCUAGCAUAGAUGAAGAACGCAGCAUAUCGGAAGAACACACGUCUA
Molecule: unclassified non-coding RNA, 279 nt
Filed under: plant metagenome
Description: partial contains small subunit ribosomal RNA, internal transcribed spacer 1, and 5.8S ribosomal RNA
Source: RNAcentral